GGUCCCAUAGCUCAGCUGGAUAGAGCAUCAGAUUUCUAAUCUGACGGUCUCAGGUUCGAAUCCUGAUGGGAUCA
This 74-nucleotide transfer RNA is filed under the name Rikenellaceae bacterium. Its description in RNAcentral is "tRNA-Arg". It matches the Rfam family "tRNA". Rfam says of the family: Transfer RNA (tRNA) molecules are approximately 80 nucleotides in length. Their secondary structure includes four short double-helical elements and three loops (D, anti-codon, and T loops). Further hydrogen bonds mediate the characteristic L-shaped molecular structure. tRNAs have two regions of fundamental functional importance: the anti-codon, which is responsible for specific mRNA codon recognition, and the 3' end, to which the tRNAs corresponding amino acid is attached (by aminoacyl-tRNA synthetases). tRNAs cope with the degeneracy of the genetic code in two manners: having more than one tRNA (with a specific anti-codon) for a particular amino acid; and 'wobble' base-pairing, i.e. permitting non-standard base-pairing at the 3rd anti-codon position. Lineage: Bacteria; Pseudomonadati; Bacteroidota; Bacteroidia; Bacteroidales; Rikenellaceae. The record is from RNAcentral.